AAUAAUUUUAUUUUAUUAUUAUUUUUUUUCUUCAGUUUGUUUCUUAUUUUUAUUUUGGUUGUUGGUUUUAAGUUUCUUGUCACCUCUUUUUGAUUCAUUUCUUGUACUUGGUUUGAUCUUAGAAGAAGGGUUGCAGC
Molecule: long non-coding RNA, 137 nt
Organism: Telopea speciosissima
Lineage: Eukaryota; Viridiplantae; Streptophyta; Magnoliopsida; Proteales; Proteaceae
Exons: 4
Source: RefSeq, a predicted model, not a curated record